Molecule: long non-coding RNA, 312 nt
Organism: Esox lucius (northern pike)
Lineage: Eukaryota; Metazoa; Chordata; Actinopteri; Esociformes; Esocidae
Source: Ensembl
AUUCACUCUCUGCUGUAAUUUUCGGGAGGAGAUUUGGAAGAUUCUUGCUGUCUUCGUAGUCAAGGUGACCCCAUACUGCCUCUAUAAAUUCAGGUUGGCGUGGUGGCAGAAAUUUGAGGAAGAACAUUGGAAGAAGAACACCAGAAGAAUGAUGGCCUUCCUUUUAAACCACUCCCUAUCAAGAUAGUACAAUUUUGUUGGCCGCCAUGGAAAGCGAGAGUUUCGGGGGCUCAAACUGUUUGAGGUUGUAUAUGGUAUGUUUACUCGCUGUUUAACAUAUUAAUGUGCAAACAAAGGUUAUUUUGUAUGCAA